This is a long non-coding RNA of Papaver somniferum (opium poppy), 2233 nucleotides long. RefSeq lists it as uncharacterized. The record is from RefSeq and is a predicted model, not a curated record. The transcript is spliced from 8 exons. Lineage: Eukaryota; Viridiplantae; Streptophyta; Magnoliopsida; Ranunculales; Papaveraceae.
UAUACCUGAUUUCCUGCCAGAAAGGUGAAGCAACGGCAACGCCCACUAUUCCCAUGCCGGGAAGAAUCGAAAAGCACCAACCUUUUUGACUUUUGGUGAUAAAGAAGAAAACGAAGAAAAAAGCACCAACACGCGCGCGCGCACACACUCUCACCCUCUUUCCCGUUCCCUUCCGCCAUUAAAAUUCCUCUGAAAACCAGAAGCUUCAUCAUUGAGCUCUAUCGGUUUGUUCAAUUGAAAUGAAGUAUUAUCAACUUGAUUAACCUAAUUUUGAGCGACGAUCACGAAGAUGAUGGUUAACAGUUGAACAUGGUGAUGAUACACGACUCAGGGGAUUCUCUUGUAAUUCGAAGAGGCAGAAGUAGAGAGACUUAUUGGUCGCAUCUCAAUAAUGCUAGAAUGCGGCAUCUAAUUGCAGACAUUAUGGAUGAUCUUGGCAUCUGUGUAUGAUGACCCGUACUUUCCAGACUAAAGAGCAUGCUUUCGUGCAAAUAUGAGAUGUUCAACAGGGCUGGAGAUGUUAGCUUUCGCGUGUAACCAGUUUCGAGCUCAGGAACCAGGAAACAAUCAGCAGAUUGUAGAGUUUGCCUGCACUCGCUUUAAGGCCGAGUAUCCCAUCUUUGACAAGCUGAUCGAUCAGCAAUGGUGUCCUUUAAUAGACGAAAAUCAUCUGAAAUGGUUGAAGAGGAGCCGAAAGAGAAGAAAAUCCCAGUUCUCCCAUGGAUGAGAUCUCCCAUAAAUGUUAAUCUUAUUGAAGAUAUUCUAUUAGAACAUGUUCCUGGACUUGAUCCCAGAUUGGUGGAGGCAUUAAGUAAUAUCAAUGAGAAUUUUACUACAUUGUAUCCAAUUCAAUAUGCAGUAUGGAAACAAACAAUUGGGCCUGGUCAAAUUGAGAGAGAUCUUUGUAUAAAUUCACUAACUGGAAGUGGGAAAACCUUAUCUUACGCAUUGAUAUUAAGAUAAGGAAUCUUAGACGCUUACGCGCGUUAGUCGUCUUUCCUUCCCGUGAUUUGGCAGUGCAGGUAAAAAGUGUGUUCGAAUCUAUAGCACCAGCUGUGGGGUUAAUUGUUGGUUCAGCUAUUGGUGGUAAAAGUAAAAUGUCAAAUGAGAUAUCACAGCUCAUUAAGCGGCCUGCGCUUGAGGCAGGUGUUUGUAUGACCCAGAGAAAGAAUUGGAAAGCGGAGUUGAUAUUUUAGUGGCAACACCUGGAAAACUGAUGAACCAUAUUAACACAACAAAGGGAUUUACUCUUGAGCAUCUUGGAUUUCUUGCAGUUGAUGAAAUAGACAAGCUACUUGGAGAGGAAUAUCAGGAUUUUCUUCAUGCUGUGCUUCAACUGACCCGUUCAGACGAGGAACACCAGUAUUCACAUAUGAGGGCUUCUCAAUCUUUGCUCGGUCCCCUGAGUACUAUAAGAAGAUCGUAAGUUUUAUGCGAUCCCAUUUUGAUACUUAGUUGGUUAAGUCAAUACAUUUUGUCAGUGCUCCUAAGUUUGUUUUAUACAGUACAAACUAUGGGUAACGGCAGAACUAUAGAAAUGGGGUCAUUAUUGCAAAGAAGAAGAGAAGGGGUAUCUCGGGUCAAACUGUGCUUUUCAACACCAGGGUUUCCUGCUUUUACAGCACCAACUUCUGCACAGCCAGAAAACCACAACUUCUGAGCUUUCUAAAAAUUCGUAAGAGGAGAACAUAAGAAAUAUGGUAGCUUACACUCAGACGAACUUGGAGUGCGUUUGAUAUAACGUUGAUGCAAUGAUGAGCGGCGCAAUUAGAAAUGGUAAUAGAUGGAAGCAGAGCUUUUCCUAAAAUCAAAUCAGCAAAUCUGUAGGAAAAACAUGGAUGUUCAGGAAAGGGAACGGAAAAGAACCUCUGGAGGAAAUGGAAAUAAGAAUCUUACUUUUGGCAAUACACCAGUCUGAUAGUAUGCAAGUGAGGUAGGUAUAGUGAGACACAUCUGCCAGUUACACCAUCCGAUAACUAGAAGAAGAAGCUUACUUACCUGCUUGAUUUUCAAAGGCAUUCCAGAAUUGAGGAGCAAUUGGUAAAUUAUUAGAUGCAAAAACAACAGAAUUAGGGAUCUCAGGAAACGCUUACCAGGCUGUAACCUGAUGUUGCAGGUAGAGCUUCCUGAGGGUUGUCGUCAACAAGCAUUUAUAUUACACGUAAAACAUAGUAUAUGGUAUGGGUAAAAGUAUAUAUACUCGCGAUUCAACUGAUUUGGGUCUUUAUGAAAA